GCACAAGAAACCCAACAAUCCAUUUCCUAGAAUAUAUAUAUAUAUAUAUAUAUAUAUAUAUUUUUUUUAUUCCUAACGAAGAUAUUUAGUGGAGGUGAGCCCUUAGUUUUUGUCUUUUGUCGCGCAUUGCAUUAGCCAUUUUUACUUUUCUACGUCGGCAAUGAGAUUCAAGCUUCCACUUUGGCUUAUUGCAAUUAGCGAAAAAGCAAACGUAUGACAGGCUGAGAUAAACUUCAGCGCAAUUAGUUUUAUUGUUAAUGCACAGCACCUUCUUGGUUUCGGGUAAAAUCGCAAUUUCCUUUAUGGUAUUAGAGUUAGCUAUCCGCGUGUCGGAUUAAACAAUCAUACAUGCUCUCAUGUAAGGACAGAAUUAUAAAUUUUUCAACGGGUGCUUUAGCCAAAGUUAUUAGCUUAAAAUUUAAAUCAUAAAAACCACGCUAGUUCGCCAACAGGGUCUAGCCAAGUGGAAAAAUGCCUUAACUUGCAGACCGGUGGUCUUGGGUUUAAACCCUCCUCCUCCUUGUAGUUUAGAUUAUUGCUUGUUUUUUUUUUUUUUAAUUUUUAAAAAUACACUAGUUCAUAAUUCCAUUGACUAAGUUUCAAUAAGUUUUUUUUCUUUUUUAAUAAGCAAUAUUGGAUGAAGGGGAAAUCGAACUUGAAGACUUCAAAUGCAAGGGUAAAUGUUAAUUUCCAAUAAGCUUUAAC
This 705-nucleotide long non-coding RNA is filed under the name Prunus persica (peach). Its description in RNAcentral is "long non-coding RNA (PPER_LNC003155)". The record is from RNAcentral. Lineage: Eukaryota; Viridiplantae; Streptophyta; Magnoliopsida; Rosales; Rosaceae.